AUUGAACGCUGGCGGAAGGCCUAACACAUGCCCGUCGAGCGGAGAGGCAGCCGGGUGAGUAAUGCCUAGGAAUCUGCCUGCUCGUGGGGGAUAACGUCCGGAAACGGGCGCUAAUACCGCAUACUAUCAGAUGAGCCUCGGUCGGAUUAGCUCGUUGGUGGGGUAAAGGCCUACCAAGGCGACGAUCCGUCACGGGGCUGAGAGGAUGAUCAGUCCAACUGGAACUGAGACACGGUCAAGACUCAUACGGGAGGAAGAGGGGGGGAAUAUUGGACAAGGGGCGAAAGCCUGAUCCAGCCAUGCCGGGUGUGUGAAGAAGGUCUUCGGAUUGUAAAGCACUUUAAGUGGGGAGGCGUUACCAACAGAAUAAGCACCGGCUAACUUCGUGCCAGCCGCCGCGGUAAUUC
RNAcentral lists this ribosomal RNA (407 nucleotides) under uncultured bacterium. Its description in RNAcentral is "partial 16S ribosomal RNA". It matches the Rfam family "Bacterial small subunit ribosomal RNA", at positions 30 to 526 of the family's 1533-position model. The record is from RNAcentral.